UUGCCAACACAUACUCUCCCCAAUAUCUCAAAUGUAACUUUGUCUGAAAUAGGAGUGCCCUGACUGCUUCAAGUAAGUACCAUGUUUUCUUUCUUCCAUAAUGUUAUGUUGUGGUAUAUAGGGACAUGAUUUUUAGUGAAUGAUGCCUUUUGAUUGGAAAAAGGAGUUGAUUUUUGUGUUGGUGAACUCCGAACAAAUAUUUGUUCUUAUGGUCUUUAUGGAACUUUUGAACUAUUUUUUUAACAACCCGACAUUGUUUCAAGAGCUAUAGCUUCAUUAUCUUAUUGUUUGCUUCUUUUGUGUUCUUCAACUAUAUCAUUGUAUAUUGGGUUUGUUUGUUCAGGUCCGGAGUGGUUUCUGAGUGAAAUGAGAUACAUAGUCUCUUAAUUCGAAUUUUUAAGUUAGAAAAGGUUGAUCGGGUGUUGACUUAUAUAUAAAUGAUCUCAGAAUUUAAUUUUGAUGGUUCCUUUAGCUCCAUUAGACAAUUAUAUUAUUAGAACAUCCGGAAAAUGAUUUGGAGGUCCAUAAUAGAAUUUGGCUUGAAUUUGCGGUAGUUGGAAUUUUGGCGAUUUUGGCCUACGGUGAAAAUUUUGAUAUCUGGGUUAUAUUGGAAUUUUGGAAGUUGGAGUAUGUUGAUGGUGUCAUUUCUUACUUAUGUGUAAAAUUUUAGGUUAUUCAGAUAUGGUUUGGUAUGUUUCCGCAUCAUUUAUGAAAUUCAGAAGUUUUGAGUAUUUUAAGGUUUGACUAAGUUCGUAUGAUGUUAUACGAUUUGUUGGUAUGUUUGGCUGUGGUCCUGAGGGCCUCGAGGUGAUUUUAGAUGGUUGAAGACUCGAUUUGAGUUGAGAAAUUGCAGUUGAAGUGCUGCUACUACUGGUGUAACUGCACCUGCGGAGUAGGAACCGCAGGUCCACGCUCGCAGAAGCGAAAUAGGAGCCGCAUAAGCUGCUAAGGAUGAGCUGGGCAAGGGAUGCAGGUGCAUUGGCAUUCCUGAACUUGCACAGGUCGCAAAAGCGGACUCAAAGGCGCAAGUGCUAGUUUAGACAACAGAAGCGAGAUAGUUUCUGCACCUGCGAAAGGCAAAAAUGUGGUCUUGAGGCUGUAGGGGCGAGGUAAGGAUUUUAAGUGAAAUCCACACCUGCGAUGGAAUUUGCAUAGGUGCAGCAUCGCAGAAGAGACAAAUGAACCACAUGUGCAAUAUUGUUGGGUAGAAGAACACCAUCUCGAGGGUUUUGUCUUUCAUUUUCAAUUUGGAGUUUAGGAACUCGGGAGAGAGGAGAAUUUUUGAAGAUUUUCACAGAGAACGUUGGGGUAAGUGAUUCUAACCCAUAAUGGUCUAAAUUUCAUGAAUCCAUGGCUUUACUCAUCAAUUAAUUUGGGAUUUAAGUUGGAAACUUGGUAAUUUAGGGAUUGAGAAUUUAGAGACUGCAUUCUGGGGAUUAGGAGGGGCAAGUGAUGUCAUAUUUUAUAAAUGUUUUAUGGUUAAACUCGUGAGGAAUGGGCUUUCAGGUUUUUUGAUUUUGUCAGCUUUCUAGACGUGGGCCUAGGGGCUGGGUUUGAGUCAAUUUCGGAUUUUGGUUAUAAUUUGGCAUUUUCCUUGUGGAAUUGUAUCCAUUAGCCUAUAUUGAUCGUAUUGUAUUGCUUGUGGUUAGAUUCGGGGCAUUUGCAGGCCUAUUUCAGAGGCAAAGGCAUUGUGGAGUAGGAUUUUUGCUUGGUGUGAGGUAAGUAACACUUCCAAACUUGAUUUUGAGGGUUUAAAACCCCGAACUAUGUGCUAUGUGUUUAGUAUUGAGGUGACACACAUGCCAAGUGACGCGCGUGCCUGUGUGCACUGUGAGAGUUGUGAUCUGGGUGAUUCCAUGGCACCGUUUAGUGACUCUAUCAUGUCGAUAUCCAUCCUUUCAUCAUGUGAUAAAGUAAUUCAGCUGUAAAUCAUGUUAGAUAUCAAGUUUAGGCUAUAUGUUAGUAUUAUUGGGAUCCUUAAUGGUCGUUUCUUGCUAUCAUCUCAUUAAUAUUAUCAACAUUUUGUACUCAGUCAUAUUCAUGCUUUUUUAUAUCAUAUCUCAGUCUUAGUUAGUUAUUGAUUCAUCAUAUCAUUGUUCCGGGUUUGUGUUCAUGACAUUGUGAGCCCAUGGGUGAGACUGGAGAUAUUUAUGAUGAGUGUGGUGGAAAACCUAGUUAUGGGUGACAGUUAUAGGAUCAGGCUUCAUGCCACAGCUAUUAUAUUUAAGAUUAUGAUAGUGAUUAGGCUGUAGGAUCCCCCUCUGAAGUCUGUAACACACCCUCAGCGAGUGGGGAUGAUAUUAUUGAGGGAUGCAUUUUCCUAGACAUGGAUUUCUACGCAGUACUUGAUACUUGGAGAUAAUUUUUCAAUAGGUUUGGAUUUCCCUUUUUCUCAGUACUGGGUGACAUACAGUCAGUGUUGUAUAUGUUUCGGAAUUGAUUUUCUUGGGCCAAUGGCCAUAUAUAGUACUUAGUGGCUGAGAACUUGAGAGUGGGAGCACCAGGUGCAUAGAUAUAGUCUAUUCAUUGGCAUGUAAAGAUAGCUAAGUUGUAUGCAAUACACUAUUCAAAUCUGUAUUUACCUCAUUGCUUUGAGUUAUCUAUUUUACUUUUAUGCAUGCCUACAUUUUUGCACAUUAUAUCUAUAAAUAUCUGUUGAGGUUGAGUUCGUCACUAUCUUUUAGUCUAAUGUUUGGACUUGUUACUUACUGAGUUGGUGUACUGAUGUUAUCCCCUGCACCUCGUAUGCAGAUCCAGGUGAUACCGGUCGCAACGAUGGUUGCUGAUUGAGGUUCUAGAGUUUAGAGACUAUCGAGGUAGCAGUAUGGCAUUUGAGGACCUUGAAUCUCCUUUUUUACCUUAUGUCGUGCUUUUAGUUUAUUUUUUUAGACACUACACUGGACUGUAUUCUGAUGUAGAUGCGCAUGUACUCAGUAUACCCCAGUUUUGGGCUAGAUUGUAUUAUUU
This 2967-nucleotide long non-coding RNA is filed under the name Nicotiana benthamiana. Its description in RNAcentral is "long non-coding RNA (NBEN_LNC004717)". The record is from RNAcentral. Lineage: Eukaryota; Viridiplantae; Streptophyta; Magnoliopsida; Solanales; Solanaceae.